GCCGUUCAAAUCUCUGACUUCGGGAACCAGGACAUCCAAGCGAUCCAACCUCCUGCUAGCCUGGAGGCAAUCGUAACAAUUGGUUACCUGAUGAACCAACUUAAGGGCAAAGCCUUAGCUUGGGCCAAUCCUUUCUGGGAGAGUAGUAGGAGUAUUGCACAUAAUUACUAGGAAUUCCUUGCUCUGCUCAGGAAUUUCAUCUGAUUAAUAUUUGGUGCGUACAGGCU
Molecule: non-coding RNA, 227 nt
Organism: Pelobates cultripes (western spadefoot toad)
Lineage: Eukaryota; Metazoa; Chordata; Amphibia; Anura; Pelobatidae
Source: the annotation of a GenBank genome assembly